GCGCCCCUAGCUCAGCUGGAUAGAGCAUCGGACUUCGAAUCCGCAGGUCCCCCGUUCGAAUCGGGGGGGGCGCG
Molecule: transfer RNA, 74 nt
Filed under: Myxococcales bacterium
Lineage: Bacteria; Pseudomonadati; Myxococcota; Myxococcia; Myxococcales
Also listed under: 1 other name
Description: tRNA-Arg
Rfam family: tRNA
About the family: Transfer RNA (tRNA) molecules are approximately 80 nucleotides in length.
Source: RNAcentral